Molecule: long non-coding RNA, 1347 nt
Organism: Drosophila subobscura
Lineage: Eukaryota; Metazoa; Arthropoda; Insecta; Diptera; Drosophilidae
Exons: 3
Source: RefSeq, a predicted model, not a curated record
GUACACAUAUGUAAAUGUAUGUAUAUGUAGACGUACCGUACGGGUGUUUAGCGUCGGCCAUAUGAGCAGACAGCUUGGCAAAAUAUAUUUCGAUUAAAAUACAAACCAAAUUGGACUGGACAGAGCUUUGACACAAAAACUAAAUUGCCUGCCAAGUGUCCCCGCCGUCGAAAUUCACAAGGAGAAAGAAGCAAAGAUAAGAGCCCCUAUCGGCGCCAGAUAGCGCGGAUCCAUUACCCAUUGGAAGAUGCGAUCCAAGAAAAGAGCAAAGAAAAACACUUGCAAAAAUUAGCAGCAACGCCGGCAGUGGCAGUGCCUGUGGCAGUGACUGCUGUAGCAGCAGCUGACGGACACCGGCAGCGGUCGGGAGGAGGCCGUGCAUCUAUAAAUAGGAGUCGAACACUUUGUGCGCGUGACAGCUGUGAAAACGGCAGGGGGCCGGCGGCAGUGGCAGUGGCAGCCACAGAGAUGGCAGCUAUGACGUCAUUGGCUGGAUAAGUGAUUGCGUUCGGAAACGUCACGGAUGCGGUACAAACUGGUCCGGCCAGGCCAAUAAACCACAUAUCGCGUAUACCCGUUCCCCGCAUAUACAGUUGUAUGUAGAGAUGUAUAUACGUGGAUCUGGCAUAAUGAGAGCGCCAGACAAACGGGAAGAAAACGAAUGCCGAGCAGCGGCCGCAUCACCUGAAGCAGCACCCGCAUCAAGAGCAACAGCAACAGCGAUAGCAACAUGCAAAGAGGCAGCCAGAGCAGCAGUAGCAGCAUCAACAACAGUAGCAUCGGCAGCAGAGCAGCCAUGAGAAUCGCGAGAAAGCACAUCAAGAAGAAGGAGAGUCGUCGUGGCGAAAAAGACAAAAGUUGCUAAAAAUCAAAAUAUUUCAGUGCUCACAGCUGCUCUAGAAUCAGUCUAAAUUCGUCGUCGAUCGGCAGCAACGAGUGUGCUGUGGUGAGCCCCAGUUCCACAAAAGCGCGCGCGCUUCUAUCUGUAUCUGUAUCUGUGUGUGUUUGUGUUUGUGCGUAAGUGUGUGUGCGUGAAAAAAGGAAACGGAAGUGGAAGUCGAAUUGAAAGGGGAAUUGAAAGUACAAGUGUACACAACCACCACCACCGGCAUUAGCAGCAGCACAAGCUGAAACGACUCAAACGAGCAUUCAACGACACUGAACCCCAGCGUUAAUUUACCAAUAAAAUCAAGCCAAACUGCUGCAAAAAUCUGUGCGUAAACAUUCAAAUAGCUACCUUCCUUGUGCUUAAAUAUAUUCUACAAUUGAACAGAAUACUGAAAUGCCGACCACAGAGCGUCAAACAAAUGCAAUUGUGAUGCUUUAACCAUUAACGAAUUUCCAUUC